AAGUCGUAACAAGGUCUCCGUAGGUGAACCUGCGGAGGGAUCAUUACCGAGUGAGGGCCUCCGGGUCCGACCUCCAACCCUUUGUGAACACAUCCCGUUGCUUCGGGGGCGACCCUGCCGGGCGCCCCCGGAGGACCAUUCAAAAACACUGCAUCAUUUGCGUCGGAGUUUACGAGUAAAUCGAAACAAAACUUUCAACAACGGAUCUCUUGGUUCUG
This 218-nucleotide unclassified non-coding RNA is filed under the name Zymoseptoria brevis. RNAcentral's name for it is "partial internal transcribed spacer region". The stretch from base 1 to 46 matches the Rfam family "Eukaryotic small subunit ribosomal RNA", at positions 1786 to 1831 of the family's 1831-position model. Lineage: Eukaryota; Fungi; Ascomycota; Dothideomycetes; Mycosphaerellales; Mycosphaerellaceae. RNAcentral also lists the same sequence under 2 other names. The record is from RNAcentral.